This 474-nucleotide ribosomal RNA is filed under the name uncultured bacterium. RNAcentral describes it as "SSU rRNA". It matches the Rfam family "Bacterial small subunit ribosomal RNA", at positions 26 to 518 of the family's 1533-position model. The record is from RNAcentral.
AGGACGAACGCUGGCGGCGUGCUUAACACAUGCAAGUCGAGCGGAAAGGCCCUUCGGGGUACUCGAGCGGCGAACGGGUGAGUAACACGUGAGUAAUCUGCCCCUAGCUCUGGGAUAGCUCCGGGAAACCGGGAUUAAUACCAGAUACGACCACUUUAGACAUCUGUUGUGGUGGAAAGAAUUUUGGCUAGGGAUGAGCUCGCGGCCUAUCAGCUUGUUGGUGAGGUAACGGCUCACCAAGGCGACGACGGGUAGCCGGCCUGAGAGGGCGACCGGCCACACUGGGACUGAGACACGGCCCAGACUCCUACGGGAGGCAGCAGUGGGGAAUAUUGCGCAAUGGGCGAAAGCCUGACGCAGCGACGCCGGCGUGGGGGAUGAAGGCCUUCGGGUUGUAACCCCUUUCAGCAGGGACGAAGCGAAAGUGACGGUACCUGCAGAAGAAGCGCCGGCUAACUACGUGCCAGCAGCCGC